Molecule: ribosomal RNA, 1172 nt
Filed under: uncultured candidate division GN04 bacterium
Lineage: Bacteria
Description: bacterial SSU rRNA
Rfam family: Bacterial small subunit ribosomal RNA
Source: RNAcentral
UACCGAUCAAAGCAGCAAUGCACCGGAGGAUAGUCCCGCGCCUGAUUAACUUGUUGGGAGGUAAAAGCCUACCAGGCGACGAUCAGUAGCCGCCCUGAGAGGGUGAUCGGCCCCCCUGGGACUGAAAUACGGCCCAGACUCCUACGGGAGGCAGCAGUAGGGAAUUUUGCCGCAAUGGCCUUAACGGUUGACGCAGCAACCCCCGCGUGGAUGAUGAACCUUUUCGGAAGUGUAAAAUCCCUUUCAGCAGGGAAGGAAUAUCUUGACGGUACCUGCAGAAGAAGUCCCGCCCAACUCCGUGCCAGCAGCCGCGGUAACACGGGGGGGACAAGCGUUGUUCGGAUUCACUGGGCGUAAAGCGCUCGUAGGUGGGCUGGAUAGUCGGAUGUGAAAACCUGAGGCUUAACUUCAGGCCUGCAUCCGAAACUGCCAGUCUUGAGUACUGGAGAGGGUGGCGGAAUUCCUGGUGUAGCGGUGAAAUGCGUAGAUAUCAGGAGGAACACCGAUGGCGAAGGCAGCCACCUGGACAGAUACUGACACUGAGGGGCGAAGGCUAGGGUAGCAAACAGGAUUAGAUACCCUGGUAGUCCUAGCGGUAAACGAUGGGCACUAGGUGUUGGCGGUAUCGACCCCGCCAGUGCCGCAGCAAACGCAUUAAGUGCCCCGCCUGGGGAGUACGGUCGCAAGAUUGAAACUCAAAGGAAUUGACGGGGGCCCGCACAAGCGGUGGAGUAUGUGGUUCAAUUCGACGCAACGCGCAGAACCUUACCUGGGCUUGACAUAUACCGGAAAGCCACAGAGAUGUGGUUCCUCCUUCGGGAGUCGGUAUACAGGUGCUGCAUGGCUGUCGUCAGCUCGUGUCGUGAGAUGUUGGGUUAAGUCCCGCAACGAGCGCAACCCUCGUUCUUAGUUGCCAUCAGGUUAUGCUGGGGACUCUAAGAAGACUGCCGGUGACAAGCCGGAGGAAGGUGGGGAUGACGUCAAGUCCUCAUGGCCCUUACGCCCAGGGCUACACACGUACUACAAUGGCCGGUAUAGACGGCAGCAAUACCGCAAGGUGGAGCUAAUCCCUAAAACCGGCCUCAGUUCAGAUUGGAGUCUGCAACUCGACUCCAUGAAGGUGGAAUCGCUAGUAAUCGCAGAUCAGCAUGCUGCGGUGAAUACGUUCCCGG